This 76-nucleotide transfer RNA is filed under the name Terasakiella brassicae. RNAcentral's name for it is "tRNA-Ala". It matches the Rfam family "tRNA". Rfam says of the family: Transfer RNA (tRNA) molecules are approximately 80 nucleotides in length. Their secondary structure includes four short double-helical elements and three loops (D, anti-codon, and T loops). Further hydrogen bonds mediate the characteristic L-shaped molecular structure. tRNAs have two regions of fundamental functional importance: the anti-codon, which is responsible for specific mRNA codon recognition, and the 3' end, to which the tRNAs corresponding amino acid is attached (by aminoacyl-tRNA synthetases). tRNAs cope with the degeneracy of the genetic code in two manners: having more than one tRNA (with a specific anti-codon) for a particular amino acid; and 'wobble' base-pairing, i.e. permitting non-standard base-pairing at the 3rd anti-codon position. The record is from RNAcentral. RNAcentral also lists the same sequence under 4 other names. Lineage: Bacteria; Pseudomonadati; Pseudomonadota; Alphaproteobacteria; Rhodospirillales; Terasakiellaceae.
GGGGGUGUAGCUCAGUUGGGAGAGCAUCUGAUUUGCAUUCAGAAGGUCAUCGGUUCGAUCCCGUUCACCUCCACCA